GCCCUUCUCUAAGGAAUAGCCUCGGGAAACUGAGAGUAAUACCUUAUACGCCCUUCGGGGGAAAGAUUUAUCGGAGAAGGAUCGGCCCGCGUUAGAUUAGAUAGUUGGUGGGGUAAUGGCCUACCAAGUCUACGAUCUAUAGCUGGUUUUAGAGGAUGAUCAGCAACACUGGGACUGAGACACGGCCCAGACUCCUACGGGAGGCAGCAGUGGGGAAUCUUGGACAAUGGGCGCAAGCCUGAUCCAGCCAUGCCGCGUGAGUGAUGAAGGCCUUAGGGUCGUAAAGCUCUUUCGCCAGAGAUGAUAAUGACAGUAUCUGGUAAAGAAACCCCGGCUAACUCCGUGCCAGCAGCCGCGGUAAUACGGAGGGGGUUAGCGUUGUUCGGAAUUACUGGGCGUAAAGCGCACGUAGGCGGAUCAGAAAGUAUAGGGUGAAAUCCCAGGGCUCAACCCUGGAACUGCCUUAUAAACUCCUGGUCUUGAGUUCGAGAGAGGUAAGUGGAAUUCCGAGUGUAGAGGUGAAAUUCGUAGAUAUUCGGAGGAACACCAGUGGCGAAGGCGGCUUACUGGCUCGAUACUGACGCUGAGGUGCGAAAGUGUGGGGAGCAAACAGGAUUAGAUACCCUGGUAGUCCACACCGUAAACGAUGAAUGCCAGACGUCAGCAAGCAUGCUUGUUGGUGUCACACCUAACGGAUUAAGCAUUCCGCCUGGGGAGUACGGUCGCAAGAU
This 731-nucleotide ribosomal RNA is filed under the name Phaeobacter sp. RHS-str.305. RNAcentral describes it as "bacterial SSU rRNA". It matches the Rfam family "Bacterial small subunit ribosomal RNA", at positions 128 to 894 of the family's 1533-position model. Lineage: Bacteria; Pseudomonadati; Pseudomonadota; Alphaproteobacteria; Rhodobacterales; Roseobacteraceae. The record is from RNAcentral.